This 253-nucleotide ribosomal RNA is filed under the name uncultured bacterium. RNAcentral describes it as "partial 16S ribosomal RNA". It matches the Rfam family "Bacterial small subunit ribosomal RNA", at positions 524 to 776 of the family's 1533-position model. The record is from RNAcentral.
UACAGAGGGGGCAAGCGUUAUUCGGAAUUAUUGGGCGUAAAGGGCGCGUAGGCGGCUUUGCAAGUGGCGGGUGAAAUCCCUCGGCUUAACCGAGGAACUGCCUGUCAAACUGCAUGGCUUGAGACCAGGAGAGGUGAGUGGAAUUCCCAGUGUAGCGGUGAAAUGCGUAGAUAUUGGGAGGAACACCGGUGGCGAAGGCGCUCAUCUGGCCCAAUACUGACGCUGAUGCGCGAAAGCUAGGGGAGCAAACGGG